AUUGAACGCUGGCGGCAUGCCUUACACAUGCAAGUCGAACGGCAGCACGGGAGCAAUCCUGGUGGCGAGUGGCGAACGGGUGAGUAAAGUAUCGGAACGUGCCCAGUCGUGGGGGAUAACGUAGCGAAAGUUACGCUAAUACCGCAUACGAUCUAUGGAUGAAAGCGGGGGAUCGCAAGACCUCGCGCGAUUGGAGCGGCCGAUAUCAGAUUAGGUAGUUGGUGGGGUAAAGGCUCACCAAGCCGACGAUCUGUAGCUGGUCUGAGAGGACGACCAGCCACAGUGGGAAUGGGACACGGCCCGGACGCCUGCGGGGGGCAGCAGUGGGGAAUUGUGGACAAGGGGGGAAAGCCUGACCCAGCCAUGCCGCGUGCAGGAUGAAGGCCUUCGGGUUGUAAACUGCUUUUGUACGAAACGAAAAGGUUUGGGCUAAUAAGCUGAGCUCAUGACGGUACCGUAAGAAAAAGCACCGGCUAACUACGUGCCAGCCGCCGCAGUAA
This 500-nucleotide ribosomal RNA is filed under the name uncultured bacterium. RNAcentral's name for it is "partial 16S ribosomal RNA". It matches the Rfam family "Bacterial small subunit ribosomal RNA", at positions 29 to 523 of the family's 1533-position model. The record is from RNAcentral.